AGAGCAAAGUGAGAAUCUUUGCCGUCGAAAGUCUAAGGUUUCCUGGGGAAGGUUCGUCCGCCCAGGGUAAGUCGGGACCUAAGGAGAGGCCGAAAGGCGUAUCUGAUGGACAGCAGGUAGAAAUUCCUGCACCACCGAUAUACUUAAAAAAUGCAAGGGACACAGUAGUGGAAGGAAAGCGAGGAAGAGGAAAGACUCGUAUCGAAAGAUAUAGUGAAAAAAUAAGUAACGAAUUUCCAAGAAGCACACUGGCGAGAAAAGCUUGUAGGAAUUGUAUAAAGGUGCCCGUACCGCAAACCGACACAGGUAGAUGAGGAGAGGAUCCUAAGAUGAGCGAGAGAAGCAUUGUUAAGGAACUCGGCAAAUUGACCCCGUAACUUAGGGAGAAGGGGUGCCAAAGUAAAAUUUGGUCGCAGAGAAGAGGCCCAAGCAACUGUUUAACAAAAACACAGGUUUCUGCUAAAUCGAAAGAUGAAGUAUAGGAGCUGACGCCUGCCCAGUGCUGGAAGGUUAAGGGGAAGAGUUAGAUGUAAGUCGAAGCUUAGAACCAAAGCCCCAGUGAACGGCGGCCGUAACUAUAACGGUCCUAAGGUAGCGAAAUUCCUUGUCAGGUAAGUUCUGACCCGCACGAAAGGCGUAAUGAUUUGGGCGCUGUCUCGACAAUGUACUCGGCGAAAUUGUAGUACUAGUGAAGAUGCUAGUUACCUGCGACAAGACAGAAAGACCCCAUGGAGCUUUACUGUAGCUUGAUACUGGGUUUCGAUAAUUUAUGUACAGGAUAGGUGGGAGGCGAAGAAGCAAUUGCGCCAGCAGUUGUGGAGUCAUCCUUGGGAUACCACCCUUAAGUUAUUGAAAUUCUAACCUGUAGUCCUGAGCGGGCUAGGGGACAAUGUCAGGCGGGCAGUUUGACUGGGGCGGUCGCCUCCAAAAGAGUAACGGAGGCGCGCAAAGGUUUCCUCAGCGCGGACAGAAAUCGCGCGAAAGAGUGCAAAGGCAGAAGGAAGCUUAACUGAGAGACUGACAAGUCGACCAGAUACGAAAGUAGGUCUUAGUGAUCCGGCGGUAGUGAGUGGAAAUGCCGUCGCUCAACGGACAAAAGUUACCCUGGGGAUAACAGGCUUAUCUCCCCCAAGAGUUCACAUCGACGGGGAGGUUUGGCACCUCGAUGUCGGCUCA
Molecule: ribosomal RNA, 1176 nt
Filed under: human gut metagenome
Description: bacterial LSU rRNA
Rfam family: Bacterial large subunit ribosomal RNA
Source: RNAcentral